AAGUCGUAACAAGGUUUCCGUAGGUGAACCUGCGGAAGGAUCAUUAACACGUACCAAACGUAUCAACCCCUUUAUAUGAACUAUUAACCCGCCCUUUGCCUGCGCUUGAAGGAAAGUUUUUACGAACUUUUCUGAAGCAGCUCACAGUUGGGAACGACUGUGUUGCUGGCGUUCUGUUUCUCUCUUUUGAGAAGCAGUUCCGCGUAGAACUGUGUGCCUUUUUUUUCAACCCAUUCUCUGGUUUGACGAAAUUAACACUUCUUGUUUGUGCUCGCACAGCAGGAUUUUAUUUAUUGAACUUAAACAACUUUUAGCAACGGAUGUCUUGGUUCUC
This 334-nucleotide unclassified non-coding RNA is filed under the name fungal sp. RNAcentral's name for it is "partial internal transcribed spacer region". The stretch from base 1 to 46 matches the Rfam family "Eukaryotic small subunit ribosomal RNA", at positions 1786 to 1831 of the family's 1831-position model. The record is from RNAcentral. Lineage: Eukaryota; Fungi.